Molecule: long non-coding RNA, 345 nt
Filed under: Coffea arabica (coffee)
Lineage: Eukaryota; Viridiplantae; Streptophyta; Magnoliopsida; Gentianales; Rubiaceae
Description: long non-coding RNA (CARA_LNC004757)
Source: RNAcentral
UACUAGAAUAGAAAUACAAAACAAGAAUAUAUUCAUUCCAUGUACUAUACUACUAUCUGUCCAUAUGCAAGCCUGUGGGCAACAUUCAAAAUUUGCGGGUCAGUGGGGUCACCAAAAUCAGAGCAACAGGAUCUGGAAUUCGUGGCUCAAGACAUCAUCACAUUCACCUCUAUGUUAAUUAUUAACUGACUCUACAUUCAAAAUUUACAGAAGAAUUGAUAAUUGUUUUUCUUUGUCUCCUUUUGUUUAUAUGUAGAACGUGAAUGUUUGUUACUAUACAGGGGGUUUUCCGGCGGCUUGGGGGGGGCUUAAGCCCCCACCAGCCCCCCCUUAAAUCCGUGCCUG